RNAcentral lists this ribosomal RNA (493 nucleotides) under uncultured bacterium. RNAcentral's name for it is "SSU rRNA". It matches the Rfam family "Bacterial small subunit ribosomal RNA", at positions 26 to 522 of the family's 1533-position model. The record is from RNAcentral.
AGGAUGAACGCUGGCGGCGUGCUUAACACAUGCAAGUCGAACGAUGAACUGGCGCUUGCGUCGGGGAUUAGUGGCGAACGGGUGAGUAACACGUGAGUAACCUGCCCUUAACUCUGGGAUAAGCCUGGGAAACUGGGUCUAAUACCGGAUAUUGACUUUUCACCGCAUGGUGUUUUGUUGAAAGCUUUAGUGGUUUUGGAUGGACUCGCGGCCUAUCAGCUUGUUGGUGAGGUAAUGGCUUACCAAGGCGACGACGGGUAGCCGGCCUGAGAGGGUGACCGGCCACACUGGGACUGAGACACGGCCCAGACUCCUACGGGAGGCAGCAGUGGGGAAUAUUGCACAAUGGGCGAAAGCCUGAUGCAGCGACGCCGCGUGAGGGAUGACGGCCUUCGGGUUGUAAACCGUCUUUCAGUAGGAACAAGGCCACACGUUGUGUGGUUGAGGUACUUGCAGAAGAAGCGCCGGCUACUACGUGCCAGCAGCCGCGGUA